GUCAUAUUUUCCUCCCCUCUGUUAAGAAAAGAAGAAAACUGCACUCCCCACGAACCCUAACCCACCUCCCCGCGUGCCCCCUUUCUCCAGUGGUGGCGCCUCCCACCAGCAUCGAUGGCGGCCACCGGAUCUGUAUGCGGGCACUGAGACGAUUGCGGCGUUCACCAUGCUGACAAUCCGCCUCUCGUUCUAGUCUCCAUCGACAAGACGGCGCCUCAUCUCUGUCCUUCGCCGUGCCUGGGUCGUCGUCUAAGCGGUGGCUCCCUUGACGGGACUGUACAACGAGGUCGUCGUUGUCAAGGACCAUGGUGGUGGUGCCUCGGUGUUGUCUCCUCGCGGUCAACGUGGCCUCUGGACUCCGCCCUCCUUGGCGCCGCCUCCUUGGCUUCCAUCUCGCCUAUAGUACAAGGUACUUUGUACAAAGAACAAGGAGAACCGAGAAGCUGUCAAGCAUCAACAAACUAGAAGAUCUAGCGGAUUAUCAUUUACGAAGAAUGGUUGAUGCAGAAGAAAACAAUAGUGCAGAAUGCUGUAAAUUUGUAGUUGAUUAUCACAUAUUGGUUUUUAUUCUUUCUUGUAAGCAGGGAAUAGGAUUCGACAUAAUGUAAUUUUUAUUUUUUGUUGUAGUUUGUACUAUUUGGUUGAAUUUGUGGUGAAAAAUGACGUGACUAAUACUUCUAUAACCUGUUUCCUAUGAAUAAUUUA
Molecule: long non-coding RNA, 705 nt
Organism: Lolium perenne
Lineage: Eukaryota; Viridiplantae; Streptophyta; Magnoliopsida; Poales; Poaceae
Source: RefSeq, a predicted model, not a curated record